ACACAGAAGGGAGGUGGUUCGGCAGAUGUAUGACAUCCGGACGCGUGAGGUGGCUGCGGGCUAGCGGCCCGGCACCACACGGAGUGCGGCGCCGGACCAGCGCGUGACAGACGCGUGCAGCCGGCCCAAUCCCAAGCAGUCACCCGACCCGCGAGUCGCCGGUACGUCCGGCCGGCUCCUCCACGGAGGAACCAGACUCGCGGGUCGCCUGCG
This 213-nucleotide small RNA is filed under the name Streptomyces coelicolor A3(2). RNAcentral's name for it is "Actinobacteria sRNA Ms_IGR-5". It matches the Rfam family "Actinobacteria sRNA Ms_IGR-5". The record is from Rfam by way of RNAcentral. Lineage: Bacteria; Bacillati; Actinomycetota; Actinomycetes; Kitasatosporales; Streptomycetaceae. RNAcentral also lists the same sequence under 1 other name.